GAGUUUGAUCGUGGCUCAGGAUGAACGCUAGCGGCAGGCUUGACACAUGCAAGUCGAGGGGUAUAGGUUUUCGGACCUAGAGACCGGCGCACGGGUGCGUAACGCGUAUGCAAUCUACCUUUUACAGAGGGAUAGCCCAGAGAAAUUUGGAUUAAUACCUCAUAGUAUUAUGAUAAGGCAUCUUAUUAUAAUUAAAGUUCCAACGGUAAAAGAUGAGCAUGCGUCCCAUUAGCUAGAUGGUAAGGUAACGGCUUACCAUGGCGACGAUGGGUAGGGGUCCUGAGAGGGAGAUCCCCCACACUGGUACUGAGACACGGACCAGACUCCUACGGGAGGCAGCAGUGAGGAAUAUUGGUCAAUGGGCGCAAGCCUGAACCAGCCAUGCCGCGUGCAGGAUGACGGUCCUAUGGAUUGUAAACUGCUUUUGUACAGGAAGAAACAGUUCUACGUGUAGAACCUUGACGGUACUGUAAGAAUAAGGAUCGGCUAACUCCGUGCCAGCCGCCGCCGU
RNAcentral lists this ribosomal RNA (511 nucleotides) under uncultured Flavobacterium sp. Its description in RNAcentral is "bacterial SSU rRNA". It matches the Rfam family "Bacterial small subunit ribosomal RNA", at positions 9 to 521 of the family's 1533-position model. Lineage: Bacteria; Pseudomonadati; Bacteroidota; Flavobacteriia; Flavobacteriales; Flavobacteriaceae. The record is from RNAcentral.